UACGGCGGGUGCAAGCGUUGUUCGGAAUCAUUGGGCGUAAAGCGCGUGUAGGCGGCUUGGCAAGUCGGUUGUGAAAGCCCGGGGCCCAACCCCGGAACUGCAUCUGAAACUGCCUGGCUAGAGUCCCGGAGAGGAAGGCAGAAUUCCCGGUGUAGGGGUGAAAUCCGUAGAUAUCGGGAGGAAUACCAGCGGCGAAGACGGCCUUCUGGACGGUGACUGACGCUGAGACGCGAAAGCGUGGGGAGCAAACAGG
RNAcentral lists this ribosomal RNA (253 nucleotides) under uncultured bacterium. RNAcentral describes it as "partial 16S ribosomal RNA". It matches the Rfam family "Bacterial small subunit ribosomal RNA", at positions 524 to 776 of the family's 1533-position model. The record is from RNAcentral.